AGUGAACGCUGGCGGUAGGCCUAACACAUGCAAGUCGAACGGCAGCACAGCAAGAGCUUGCUCUUACGGGUGGCGAGUGGCGGACGGGUGAGGAAUACAUCGGAAUCUACUUUUUCGUGGGGGAUAACGUAGGGAAACUUACGCUAAUACCGCAUACGACCUACGGGUGAAAGCAGGGGAUCUUCGGACCUUGCGCGAUUGAAUGAGCCGAUGUCGGAUUAGCUAGUUGGCGGGGUAAAGGCCCACCAAGGCGACGAUCCGUAGCUGGUCUGAGAGGAUGAUCAGCCACACUGGAACUGAGACACGGUCCAGACUCCUACGGGAGGCAGCAGUGGGGAAUAUUGGACAAUGGGCGCAAGCCUGAUCCAGCCAUACCGCGUGGGUGAAGAAGGCCUUCGGGCUGUAAAGCCCUUUUGUUGGGAAAGAAAAGCAGCAGGUUAAUACCCCGCUGUUCUGACGGUACCCAAAGAAUAAGCACCGGCUAACUUCGUG
Molecule: ribosomal RNA, 492 nt
Filed under: uncultured bacterium
Lineage: Bacteria
Description: partial 16S ribosomal RNA
Rfam family: Bacterial small subunit ribosomal RNA
Source: RNAcentral